CAAAUCUCUUCCUCUUCAACUUAUCACUUGCCUUAUUCUUUCAUAUCAUUGUAGAAAGAAGGAAGACAAGUGGAGAGAUCUAGAGUUAUAAAUAAUAUAUAGAAAAAAAAACAACAACAAUUAGUAAUCAUGUCUAGCAGAAGAAGAUCAAAUAAUAAUUCAAGAUUCACUCAAGAUGAGAUUAAUGAUCUUGUUUUGAAAUUACAAUCUCUCUUGCCAAAUUCCUCUUCAAGGUGCACCACCACGGUAACAUCAUCAUCAAAGAUACUAGAAGAAACAUGUAAUUACAUAA
Solanum pennellii is the source of this 292-nucleotide long non-coding RNA. RefSeq lists it as uncharacterized. Lineage: Eukaryota; Viridiplantae; Streptophyta; Magnoliopsida; Solanales; Solanaceae. The record is from RefSeq and is a predicted model, not a curated record. The transcript is spliced from 2 exons.